Non-coding RNA from Acanthosepion pharaonis, 114 nucleotides. NCBI's taxonomy places the organism in Eukaryota, Metazoa, Mollusca, Cephalopoda, Sepiida, Sepiidae. The record is from the annotation of a GenBank genome assembly.
UUACGGCCAAAUCACUUUGAGACACAGGUUCUCAUACGAUCACCGAAGUUAAGCAAAGGUGAACUGGAUCAGUAGCUAGAUGGGUGAUAGCUUGGGAAUACCAAGUGUUGUAAG